GCAAAAUAAUGGAAAUUCAAUAAUGAGUGGAUGCACUUUAGUGACUAAAAUAUUAAUAAAAGGUCUGCCACAUUACCAUAAUGGCUUGGUCAAAUCAAAGUUCAUAUUCCUAAUGUAUUCAUAUGUUGGAUGAAGUUCUAAUGUACUAGAACAGCAGUUUCAUUUCAUUGAAGAAUACUGCUUGUUUUCAAUGUAAACAUGAAUACUUAGGCCUACGCAUCGUUCCGCAACAUUACAAGGAGAUCAAGGAACUAUCCACAUCACGAUAAUAUUAGACGAAGGAUCUCCCCUGAAUAUUUGAAUGACUUUUCAGUUUCUUCCAAACAAUGGUUCUUCUCUUCUCUGGUCCAGCUCUCAGCAACUUUAUUUAACUUGUCCCUAACAUUCUGCAACAGUUGUUUUAGGUCACCAUCCCAUUUAUAGAACUCCAAUUCCUUUUUGUUAAGUAUCUUCUCAGCCACCUAACAAAAACAAAGAGGAAAAGAAAAUAUGUGAGAAUUGCCCCUCAUAAACUAAGAUAUCAUUGAUAUCACCCCAUCAGAGUAACCACCGAAGUAUGUCUAUAUAGCCGCAUGAAGGCAUGACCUUUAAGUAAAAAGAUGCUUUCCUAAUUUAUUUGAGAAACUCAUAUCUCUUGUUGGCAAGAACUCCUCUUCAAUGGAUUUAUAUAAAAAUGAAGGCACACUGAUACUAGUGUAGCAUUGUUUAUUUGAACAGAGGGGGAGCUCAACGGUUUACUUAUGUUGCUAUGCAAUAAGUUCACAAAUCAAAUAAACCUAGUGCUCAAGCAUUGCGCUGCAACUUGAGUCUUACACCUCCAUGAAGCGCUAAAAUAUUUUUUGGCCAUUUAAGUUUAAAUUCGUUUACCUUCUUCCCAAUCAUUCUACCACCAGCAGUGUGGGCAAAAUAUAUAUUGUAGAAGUGGCAAAUAAAAGCUUGAGGGUCCUUCUCUGAUAAUUCCUUUAGACACUGUGCAUAAUUGGUACCAGGAGAAGAAGGCUCUGGAAUGGCAUAGCCUUGUUUUUUGAACCACUCCAAAUCUUUUGCCAGCUUUUC
This 1056-nucleotide unclassified non-coding RNA is filed under the name Hevea brasiliensis (rubber tree). The record is from RNAcentral. Lineage: Eukaryota; Viridiplantae; Streptophyta; Magnoliopsida; Malpighiales; Euphorbiaceae.